Molecule: ribosomal RNA, 496 nt
Filed under: uncultured bacterium
Lineage: Bacteria
Description: partial 16S ribosomal RNA
Rfam family: Bacterial small subunit ribosomal RNA
Source: RNAcentral
GAUGAACGCUGGCGGCGUGCCUAAUACAUGCAAGUCGAGCGAACAGACGAGGAGCUUGCUCCUCUGACGUUAGCGGCGGACGGGUGAGUAACACGUGGAUAACCUACCUAUAAGACUGGGAUAACUUCGGGAAACCGGAGCUAAUACCGGAUAAUAUAUUGAACCGCAUGGUUCAAUAGUGAAAGACGGUUUUGCUGUCACUUAUAGAUGGAUCCGCGCCGCAUUAGCUAGUUGGUAAGGUAACGGCUUACCAAGGCAACGAUGCGUAGCCGACCUGAGAGGGUGAUCGGCCACACUGGAACUGAGACACGGUCCAGACUCCUACGGGAGGCAGCAGUAGGGAAUCUUCCGCAAUGGGCGAAAGCUUGACGGAGCAACGCCGCGUGAGUGAUGAAGGUCUUCGGAUCGUAAAGCUCUGUUAUUAGGGAAGAACAAAUGUGUAAGUAACUAUGCACGUCUUGACGGUACCUAAUCAGAAAGCCACGGCUAACUACGU